This 947-nucleotide ribosomal RNA is filed under the name Apis mellifera (honey bee). RNAcentral's name for it is "partial 16S ribosomal RNA". Lineage: Eukaryota; Metazoa; Arthropoda; Insecta; Hymenoptera; Apidae. The record is from RNAcentral.
UUUUGUACCUUUUGUAUCAGGGUUGAUUAAAAUUUAUUUAAUGAUUUUAAAUAUCUCGAAAAUAAGGGAGCUAAAUUUAUAUUAUUUUUUUUGUAGCAAUAAAAUUAUAAAUAUAGAUUUAGAAAUUAAAUGUUAAACGAACUUAUUAAUAUCUAGUUUUUUUAGAAAUAAAUUUAAUUUAGAUAUAAUUAUUUUAGUAAAUUAAAUUUUAUUUUAAUUUAUUAAUUUUUAUAUUAAAAAUUUAUGGGAUAAUCUAUAAAUUUAAGAUAAAAAUUUAAUUUUAAUUUUUAAUGUUAUAGAGAUAAUAUUUUUCUUUAAUUUUAAUAAUUUAAUAAUUUAAUAUUUAUAAAUUAAUAAUGAUUUAAAUUUAUAUUUUAUUUUUCUAUAAAAAUUUAUAUUUUAAUUAAUAAAAUAUAGAAAUAAUGAUUAGAUUAGUAAUAAAGUUAUAUUUUAUAAUGAUAUUUUGUAUUAUAUAAUUUAAAGGAAUUCGGCAAAUAUAUUAUUCACCUGUUUAUCAAAAACAUGUCCUGUUGAUUAUAAUUUUAGGUCGAUCUGCUCAAUGAAUUAUUUUAAAUAGCUGCAGUAUGUUGACUGUACAAAGGUAGCAUAAUAAAUUGUCUUUUAAUUGAAGAAUUGUAUGAAAGAAUUAAUGAAAUAAUAACUGUCUCUAAAUUAUUAAAUGAAUUUAAAUUUUUAGUUAAAAUUCUAAAAUUUAAUUAUGGGACGAUAAGACCCUAUAGAAUUUAAUUUAAUUUUUAAAUUUAUUUAUAAUUUUAAUAAAUAUAUUUAAGAUUAAAUUUGAUUGGGAGGAUUGGUAAAUUUAAUAAACUUUAUUUAAGAUUUAAUUUUGAUAUAAAGAUAAUUUUUUGAAUUAUAAAUUGUAAUUAAAAGAAUAAAUUACCUUAGGGAUAACAGCGUAAUAUCUGUUGAUAGAUCAUAUUGAUAAA